CUGGCCUUGACAUCUGUCGAAUCCUGCAGAGAUGCGGGAGUGCCGCAAGGAACGACAAGACAGGUGCUGCAUGGCUGUCGUCAGCUCGUGUCGUGAGAUGUUGGGUUAAGUCCCGCAACGAGCGCAACCCUUGUCCUUAGUUGCCAGCACGUAAUGGUGGGAACUCUAAGGAGACUGCCGGUGACAAACCGGAGGAAGGUGGGGAUGACGUCAAGUCCUCAUGGCCCUUACGGCCAGGGCUACACACGUACUACAAUGGUCGGUACAGAGGGUCGCGAAGCCGCAAGGUGGAGCCAAUCCCAGAAAACCGAUCCCAGUCCGGAUUGGAGUCUGCAACUCGACUCCAUGAAGUUGGAAUCGCUAGUAAUCGCGAAUCAGCUAUGUCGCGGUGAAUACGUUCCC
This 402-nucleotide ribosomal RNA is filed under the name uncultured soil bacterium. Its description in RNAcentral is "bacterial SSU rRNA". It matches the Rfam family "Bacterial small subunit ribosomal RNA", at positions 975 to 1375 of the family's 1533-position model. The record is from RNAcentral.